This 340-nucleotide ribosomal RNA is filed under the name uncultured eukaryote. Its description in RNAcentral is "SSU rRNA". It matches the Rfam family "Eukaryotic small subunit ribosomal RNA", at positions 22 to 366 of the family's 1831-position model. The record is from RNAcentral.
AGUCAUAUGCUUGUCUCAAAGAUUAAGCCAUGCAUGUCUAAGUAUAAGCGACUAUACUGUGAAACUGCGAAUGGCUCAUUAAAUCAGUUAUGGUUUAUUUGAUGGUACCUUGCUACUUGGAUAACCGUAGUAAUUCUAGAGCUAAUACAUGCAGGAGUUCCCGACUCACGGAGGGAUGUAUUUAUUAGAUAAGAAACCAAACCGGUCUCCGGUUGCGUGCUGAGUCAUAAUAACUGCUCGAAUCGCACGGCUCUACGCCGGCGAUGGUUCAUUCAAAUUUCUGCCCUAUCAGCUUUCGAUGGUAGGAUAGAGGCCUACCAUGGCGUUAACGGGUAACGGA